UAGGGAAUCUUCCACAAUGGACGCAAGUCUGAUGGAGCAACGCCGCGUGAGUGAAGAAGGGUUUCGGCUCGUAAAGCUCUGUUGUUAAAGAAGAACGUGGGUAAGAGUAACUGUUUACCCAGUGACGGUAUUUAACCAGAAAGCCACGGCUAACUACGUCNCA
This 163-nucleotide ribosomal RNA is filed under the name uncultured bacterium. RNAcentral describes it as "partial 16S ribosomal RNA". It matches the Rfam family "Bacterial small subunit ribosomal RNA", at positions 355 to 510 of the family's 1533-position model. The record is from RNAcentral.